CGGGGGGCAGCAGUGGGGAAUAUUGGACAAUGGGCGAAAGCCUGAUCCAGCAAUGCCGCGUGGAUGAAGAAGGUCUUCGGAUUGUAAAGUCCUUUCGGCGGGGACGAUGAUGACGGUACCCGCAGAAGAAGCCCCGGCUAACUUCGUGCCAGCAGCCGCGGUAAUACGAAGGGGGCUAGCGUUGCUCGGAAUGACUGGGCGUAAAGGGCGCGUAGGCGGUUUGAUUAGUUAGGCGUGAAAUUCCUGGGCUCAACCUGGGGGCUGCGCUUAAUACAGUCAGACUAGAGUGUGAAAGAGGGUCGUGGAAUUCCCAGUGUAGAGGUGAAAUUCGUAGAUAUUGGGAAGAACACCGGUGGCGAAGGCGGCGACCUGGUUCAUUACUGACGCUGAGGCGCGAAAGCGUGGGGAGCAAACAGGAUUAGAUACCCCGGU
RNAcentral lists this ribosomal RNA (432 nucleotides) under uncultured Acetobacteraceae bacterium. RNAcentral describes it as "bacterial SSU rRNA". It matches the Rfam family "Bacterial small subunit ribosomal RNA", at positions 342 to 791 of the family's 1533-position model. Lineage: Bacteria; Pseudomonadati; Pseudomonadota; Alphaproteobacteria; Acetobacterales; Acetobacteraceae. The record is from RNAcentral.